This 497-nucleotide ribosomal RNA is filed under the name uncultured bacterium. Its description in RNAcentral is "partial 16S ribosomal RNA". It matches the Rfam family "Bacterial small subunit ribosomal RNA", at positions 28 to 507 of the family's 1533-position model. The record is from RNAcentral.
GACGAACGCUGGCGGCGUGCCUAAUACAUGCAAGUUGAGCGCUGAAGGUUGGUACUUGUACCAACUGGAUGAGCAGCGAACGGGUGAGUAACGCGUGGGGAAUCUGCCUUUGAGCGGGGGACAACAUUUGGAAACGAAUGCUAAUACCGCAUAAAAACUUUAAACACAAGUUUUAAGUUUGAAAGAUGCAAUUGCAUCACUCAAAGAUGAUCCCGCGUUGUAUUAGCUAGUUGGUGAGGUAAAGGCUCACCAAGGCGAUGAUACAUAGCCGACCUGAGAGGGUGAUCGGCCACAUUGGGACUGAGACACGGCCCAAACUCCUACGGGAGGCAGCAGUAGGGAAUCUUCGGCAAUGGACGAAAGUCUGACCGAGCAACGCCGCGGGAGUGCAGAAGGUUUUCGGAUCGUAAAACUCUGUUGGUAGAGAAGAACGUUGGUGAGAGUGGAAAGCUCAUCAAGUGACGGUAACUACCCAGAAAGGGACGGCUAACUACGUG